UCGGAUCGCGGCGACGCGGCGGUUCGCCGCCGGUGACGUUGUGAGAAGUUCAUUAAACCUUAUCAUUUAGAGGAAGGAGAAGUCGUAACAAGGUUUCCGUAGGUGAACCUGCGGAAGGAUCAUUG
Molecule: ribosomal RNA, 125 nt
Filed under: Frullania sp. A BlS-2016
Lineage: Eukaryota; Viridiplantae; Streptophyta; Jungermanniopsida; Porellales; Frullaniaceae
Description: partial 18S ribosomal RNA
Rfam family: Eukaryotic small subunit ribosomal RNA
Source: RNAcentral